Melospiza melodia melodia is the source of this 302-nucleotide long non-coding RNA. RefSeq lists it as uncharacterized. Lineage: Eukaryota; Metazoa; Chordata; Aves; Passeriformes; Passerellidae. The record is from RefSeq and is a predicted model, not a curated record. The transcript has 3 exons.
AAGGAGGACUGUUUCUACACUGAAGCUUGUCAUUAUACCAGCAGUAUCUAAGCUAUACCAGAGAGGCCCUGAAAGCUAAACUAGAAGGGACCUGAUGAAAGGUUGAUACCAUCCUGAUUCCUUAGGGUAAUAGGUACAAUACUAAGGAAUGAAAAUGACAUCUGCAUUGAUCCUGACUCUCUAGGAAGCAUCGAUUCAGAAAAGUGAACUAGGCCAGUUUAUCUGAAAGGCACUCUUUGUAUUCUGGAAUUCCAGUUUCAAGAGCGAGAGCAUCACAUAUUUGCUAUCGGAUUUGUCCUGAU